UACGUAGGGUGCAAGCGUUGUCCGGAAUUAUUGGGCGUAAAGAGCUCGUAGGCGGUCUGUCGCGUCGAAUGUGAAAACCCGGGGCUCAACCCCGGGCUUGCAUUCGAUACGGGCAGACUAGAGUUCGGUAGGGGAGUCUGGAAUUCCUGGUGUAGCGGUGAAAUGCGCAGAUAUCAGGAGGAACACCGGUGGCGAAGGCGGGACUCUGGACCGAUACUGACGCUGAGGAGCGAAAGCGUGGGGAGCAAACAGG
Molecule: ribosomal RNA, 253 nt
Filed under: uncultured bacterium
Lineage: Bacteria
Description: partial 16S ribosomal RNA
Rfam family: Bacterial small subunit ribosomal RNA
Source: RNAcentral